AUUGAACGCUGGCGGCAUGCUUUACACAUGCAAGUCGAACGGGCUGGGGGCAACUCCAGUCAGUGGCGAACGGGUGAGUAAUGCAUCGGAACGUGUCCCGUAGUGGGGAGUAACCCGGCGAAAGCCGGACUAAUACCGCAUAUGCUCUACGGAGGAAAGUGGGGGACCGCAAGGCCUCACGCUAUGGGAGCGGCCGAUGUCCGAUUAGCUUGUUGGUGGGGUAAUGGCCUACCAAGGCGACGAUCGGUAGCUGGUCUGAGAGGUUGGCCGGCGACAUUGGGACUGAGACACUGCCCAGACUCCUACGGGGGGCUGCAGUAACGAAUCUUCCGCAAUGCACGAAAGUGUGACGGAGCGACGCCGCGUGUAGG
RNAcentral lists this ribosomal RNA (371 nucleotides) under uncultured bacterium. RNAcentral describes it as "bacterial SSU rRNA". It matches the Rfam family "Bacterial small subunit ribosomal RNA", at positions 30 to 407 of the family's 1533-position model. The record is from RNAcentral.